UACGGUGAAUACGUUCCCGGACCUUGUACACACCGCCCGUCAAGCCAUGGAAGCUGGGUGUACCUAAAGUCGGUAACCGCAAGGAGCCGCCUAGGGUAAAACUAGUAACUGGGGGCU
Molecule: ribosomal RNA, 117 nt
Filed under: uncultured bacterium
Lineage: Bacteria
Description: partial 16S ribosomal RNA
Rfam family: Bacterial small subunit ribosomal RNA
Source: RNAcentral